Molecule: long non-coding RNA, 1609 nt
Organism: Musca domestica (house fly)
Lineage: Eukaryota; Metazoa; Arthropoda; Insecta; Diptera; Muscidae
Exons: 3
Source: RefSeq, a predicted model, not a curated record
CCUUUUUGUAACAAAAAGUGAAAAUUGUGGUAUAAUAGGAGUCUUAUUGGGUCAAAUUGUAAUUUUUCUGCAGGAAUGGUCCACCAACUUCUUUCUGAGAGAGUGAGGUAGUUUUAUUCUCCUGCGGAAAGUAAACAGACGGAAUCCCUUCAAAAACUUGCAAGCGAUCACCUGAUUUAUCAAGAACGAAAAAAUUAAAAAUUAAUCGAAAAAUAAAAAACAAAUUGUGCUUACGUUUAAAUUAAAAAUGUUUCUUGCCGAAAUAUGCAGAAGAAUUGCAAAUAUUUGCACAAAGAAAUUUGCAAGUUCUCAGAAAACAACUCUCUCGAACGGCGCUCUUUUGCAGAACUUUUGUGUUAACAGACGACUUCCAGUAACAAUUUGCAACAAUUGUUACAAAUUUUAGGGUAACCAGACACACCUAAUAUGUCUUUUGACAGCAAACUUGUCAGAUGGGCUUACUGGCCGACCUUUAGGCCAUGUUUGUUGCCAACAAUUUUUAAACAUUACGAAACUGCCAUGGUAGAAUAAUACAGAUAGUCGCAUCGACACAGCUGAUGGGACAAAAAAACUGUCAAACCAAUUUUGGUAUUUAAAAUUUUGAAUGAAAAAUUAUUGAAAUGUGUAAAAUCUGUUGAAAAAUGAAUAUCAUGACAACCUCCGUUUGGUUCGUCGUAUAAGAGAACAUAUAAAAAUUUACUUAUUUUCGACAAAACAUAUUUGACAGAUCAACGCGUCCUAGCGUUGUUGCAUUUACCAGUAUUCUUCUACCAUGGAAUCUGCAAACUUAAUGUAAUGGACUUUCCGAAUCAAAGGCUAUUUCAUUGUUAAAAUCUAUGGUGUUUUUUAAACGAAAGGCGAUGUCGAGUUUAAAUUUUUUGCUAUGAAGCAUGAUACAACAAAAAGUUGUCGGCCGCCCUCGAUGAUUGUUUGUACGAAAUAAACUGAACACAAUCUGUUAUCGUCCUCUGUUUUUAAUAACAAACAUCAGCGUCGUCGGAAUAUUGUACAGUGCUCUAUGGCAUACAGUUUGCUCGUUCGUUCGUCUGUCGUAGCUAGACAGUUGAUAUACAGUCAGCCGACUGUUACCGACGCCGCAUCAAAUUGUUAGCGCGUCAUGCAUAAAGCAACCACAUGUCUGUGUGUGUGCUUGCAAAUGUAAUCUUCGUAUUAUAUGUUUGGAGAGCGGAGUGUGUAAGGAGAGUAGUAUUUAGUAAAUACAGUAAAGGCUCGAUAAUAUGAAAUUAUGACGUUUGGUUUCUUGAUGUGAAGAACAAGUCUUAAACAUGGGUCAUUUAAUUAAUGAUGUAAGAUAAACAACUUAUUAUAAAAUUAUUUAUUCGUAAAUCUAUUGUAUAUUCACAAGUCAGAGAGGGGAAGCUUUCAUCAAAUUAGUUAAAUUUGAUAAAAUGAGCUACAGAUAUUAUUACUUGAAAUGAGUUACCUUGAAAAAAUUGUACCAUGUUACUUACCUUGCGUGUUUAGGUAAACCCAUGAUAAAAUUAAGUAGAUAAUGUAAUUUCAAAUAAGCAUUCCCAUCGUUGCUUUGUUCUAGCUUAUGUAAUUGUGCCAUGCUAAUACAUACAGGGUGAGAUAAAAAAGUGCAACA